CGCGGAUGCUGUGACAAGGGGCGGGCGAGGGAGGGCUCCGCGUCAGGGGCAGACAGCUCCAGGUGCUGGAGGCUGCCGCGCGGAGAGGUCCGCCCAGCCAGGAUGUGCGUUGUCCUGAGAAUCGAAUUACCCGGAACCCCAGAGCUCACCCUCUCUGAAGGAGAGCAGGUGCCUCCUGAGAGCAGGGCUUCUCUACCUUGGGGCACUAUGAACAUUCUGAGUGGGGCGCCCUGAACGAGUGCCCAGAUGCUUGUGAGGCCCAGAUCUUGGGGUGUGCAGCCAGGAAGGGCUCUGCUAGCUUUCCCACCUCCCUCCUGACCUCUUCUGCCCCUCACUGGACCCAGCCCGUUGGCUUCAGGAUGGGCCCCACGGGACAUGCUUUCAUGGAACCUGAGGAAAGAAUGCACUUACAACAGCGCCGGGAGCACAGAGGCUUCCCACUACCCUUUCCGAGAAGCACGUCUAUUUUCUCUAAUUUAUUCAGUGCCGCUGUGCGUGUGUGGCCUCUCAGUGCCCACUUUGUUCAUCUCUGCUCACUGGGGGAGCCAGGACACGGAUCCAGGUUUUCUGACUCCAGGUCUCAGGCUUGCUCCAUAGCGCCACCUGCUG
RNAcentral lists this long non-coding RNA (609 nucleotides) under Homo sapiens (human). RNAcentral describes it as "non-protein coding lnc-CYLD-2:7". The record is from RNAcentral. Lineage: Eukaryota; Metazoa; Chordata; Mammalia; Primates; Hominidae.